GGGGUUAAGACGAGGCGAAUAAAUGAGUGGAAAUAAGGAAGGUGGUGGAAUGGAGUACCGGUGAUAUUAGGGUGGGUAUAGGGGUUGUGGUUAUAAGAUAACUGGGAUAGUUGCGCGGGUGACUGAUAUAGUGGGUGUAAUAAAUGGGGGUAUUUCAUAUGAUAGCGGCGGUGGUUAAAAAGGCAUUAGUUACAUCCGCAGGUAUUCUUCGGACGGGUGAGUAACGCGUGAGAAUCUAGCUUCAGGUCGGGGAUAACAGUUGGAAACGACUGCUAAUACCGGAUGUGCCGAAAGGUAAAAGGCUUGCUGCCUGAAGAUGAGCUCGCGUCUGAUUAGCUAGUUGGUGUGGUAAGAGCGCACCAAGGCGACGAUCUUUAGCUGGUUUGAGAGGAUGAUCAGCCACACUGGGACUGAGACACGGCCCAGACUCCUACGGGAGGCAGCAGUGGGGAAUUUUCCGCAAUGGGCGAAAGCCUGACGGAGCAAUACCGCGUGAGGGAGGAAGGCUCUUGGGUUGUAAACCUCUUUUCUCAAGGAAUAAGAAAGUGAAGGUACUUGAGGAAUCAGCAUCGGCUAACUCCGUGCCAGCAGCCGCGGUAAUACGGAGGAUGCAAGCGUUAUCCGGAAUGAUUGGGCGUAAAGCGUCCGCAGGUUGCUAUGUAAGUCUGCUGUUAAAGAGCAAAGCUUAACUUUGUAAAAGCCAGUGGAAACUACAUAGCUAGAGUGCGUUCGGGGUGGGGGGAAUUCGUGGUGAAGGGGUGAAAUCCCACAGUUCUCCUCGGACGGGUGAAACGCGGACAAUGGGAUUAGACNCCCCUGUCUUCUCGAUGGGAACGCGGUCAUU
RNAcentral lists this ribosomal RNA (844 nucleotides) under Nostoc punctiforme LCR15. RNAcentral's name for it is "bacterial SSU rRNA". The stretch from base 136 to 844 matches the Rfam family "Bacterial small subunit ribosomal RNA", at positions 1 to 747 of the family's 1533-position model. The record is from RNAcentral. Lineage: Bacteria; Bacillati; Cyanobacteriota; Cyanophyceae; Nostocales; Nostocaceae.